UGAACGCUGGCGGCGUGCUUAAGACAUGCAAGUCGAACGAAGCGUUAGCAAUAGCGCUUAGUGGCGAAUGGGUGCGUAACACGUAGGUGACCUACCCCGAAGUGGGGAAUAACAGUCCGAAAGGACCGCUAAUACCGCAUGCGGCCUGGGAUUUUUGAAAGCCCAGGCGAAAGUUGCAAAACGCUUCGGGAGGGGCCUGCGGCCCAUCAGGUAGUUGGUAGGGUAACGGCCUACCAAGCCGACGACGGGUAGGGGACCUGAGAGGGUGGCCCCCCACACUGGCACUGACACACGGGCCAGACUCCUACGGGAGGCGGCAGUCGGGAAUAUUGCUCAAUGGACGAAAGUCUGAAGCAGCAACGCCGCGUGCGCGAUGAAGGCCUUCGGGUCGUAAAGCGCUUUUCGAAGGGAUGAGGAAGGACAGUACCUUCGGAAUAAGUCACGGCUAACUACGUGCCAGCAGCCGCGGUAAAACGUAGGUGGCGAGCGUUAUCCGGAUUUACUGGGCGUAAAGGGCGUGUAGGUGGUUUGGCAAGUCGGGCAUGAAAUCUUUUGGCUCAACCGAGAGAGGCUGUCCGAUACUGCUGGACUUGAGGACGGGAGAGGGUGGUGGAAUUCCGCGUGUAGUGGUGAAAUGCGUAGAGAUGCGGAGGAACACCAGUGGCGAAAGCGGCCACCUGGCCCGGCCCUGACACUGAAACGCGAAAGCUAGGGUAGCGAACGGGAUUAGAAACCCCGGUAGUCCUAGCCAUAAACGAUGUCGACUGGGUGUGCGCGGUGUAAAAGCCGGGCGUGCCGAAGCCAACGCGAUAAGUCGACCGCCUGGGGAGUACGGCCGCAAGGUAAAACUCAAAG
This 855-nucleotide ribosomal RNA is filed under the name uncultured bacterium. RNAcentral describes it as "partial 16S rRNA". It matches the Rfam family "Bacterial small subunit ribosomal RNA", at positions 30 to 906 of the family's 1533-position model. The record is from RNAcentral.